AGUGAACGCUGGCGGUAGGCCUAACACAUGCAAGUCGAACGGCAGCACAGUAAGAGCUUGCUCUUACGGGUGGCGAGUGGCGGACGGGUGAGGAAUACAUCGGAAUCUACUUUUUCGUGGGGGAUAACGUAGGGAAACUUACGCUAAUACCGCAUACGACCUACGGGUGAAAGCAGGGGAUCUUCGGACCUUGCGCGAUUGAAUGAGCCGAUGUCGGAUUAGCUAGUUGGCAGGGUAAAGGCCCACCAAGGCGACGAUCCGUAGCUGGUCUGAGAGGAUGAUCUGCCACACUGGAACUGAGACACGGUCCAGACUCCUACGGGAGGCAGCAGUGGGGAAUAUUGGACAAUGGGCGCAAGCCUGAUCCAGCCAUACCGCGUGGGUGAAGAAGGCCUUCGGGUUGUAAAGCCCUUUUGUUGGGAAAGAAAAGCAGCAGGUUAAUACCCCGCUGUUCUGACGGUACCCAAAGAAUAAGCACCGGCUAACUUCGUG
Molecule: ribosomal RNA, 492 nt
Filed under: uncultured bacterium
Lineage: Bacteria
Description: partial 16S ribosomal RNA
Rfam family: Bacterial small subunit ribosomal RNA
Source: RNAcentral